UUAAAUAAUUUGGCGGUAUUUUAGUUCAUUUAGAGGAAUCUGUUUAUUAAUUGAUAUUCCACGAAUAAAUUUACUUAAUUUAUAAUUUUGUAUAUCGUUGUUAUAAAAAUAUUUUUUAAUGAAUUUUAAUAUUUAAGAUUUUAAAUAAAAAUUUAAAUCAGAUCAAGAUGCAGAUUAUAAUUAAGAAUAUAAUGGAUUACAAUAAAAUUAUUUAAAUGAAUUUUAAUUUGUAAAAAUUAAUUGAAAGUGGAUUUAAAUGUAAUUUUAUUUAAUUUAAUAAAAUGAUUAAAAAUUAGAAUAUGU
This 303-nucleotide ribosomal RNA is filed under the name Buakea kaeuae. RNAcentral's name for it is "partial 12S small subunit ribosomal RNA". The record is from RNAcentral. Lineage: Eukaryota; Metazoa; Arthropoda; Insecta; Lepidoptera; Noctuidae.